ACGCGCGCCCCCGCCACGGCGCCGGUGCGCGGCUGCGCUGCCCGCCGCGACGCAAACACCUCCGCCCCCGCGCUGAUAAGGCUGCGCAAACACGACGUGGGAAAGGCGGCGAGUUUUGCACCUCCCGUGCCCGCGUUUGCUGAACGCUAGGACAAAUGGAAGGGGAAAAUGGACGGGCGUGUAAAGUUUUAUGGCUGCAAAGCCCGCAGAGGCGUUUGAUCCUCUUUAGUUUCUGAGCCGGGAUGUCAAGCGCUGGAAAUCCAAGGGUGCAAAUCUGACCACGUCAGCAGGAAACGUGCACUUUGAAAACACAUUUGCAAAGGAAAGCAACUUCAAUGGGGUUUUAUUAGAACAUUUUGCAUUGGGUUUUCACACUAGGUUCUUUUUUUCCCCCCCUCUCUUUCCCUGCCCCCCGUAAGGCAGCUCAUGGUCCCAUUUGGCUGCUGCUCCUCGCCGGGGGGACCCGCCCGCCGCCGCGCCACCUCCGCGGGUACAGCACGGCGGCCUGCAGCCUUAACGCUGAGCUUGGAAAUAAAAACCCGAGAGAGACAGGAGGGAUGAAACGCCCUGGGGGACGAGGAGCGCGAGCCCCCUGUCUCCGUGCGCCCCGGCACUUGGCGGGGGCGCGCUCGGGGGCGGCACGGCCCGCGCGGCUGCGGCACCGCGCUGGGCGCGAGGCGCCGACAGCUCGCUGCGCAACGGUUCCUUGGUGAUAGGCCACCCUCUAGUGCCCCGAGCCGGCAAGGGCAGCCCGGGCACGGAGAGCAGCGGUCUGGUUUCGGAGGGGUUUCCAAAACGGAAUUUAAAUCCCCCCUUUCCCUCCUCCAGCCCCAUGGAAACGCUGCGGCUCCUUACGGUAACACGGCGCUAUCUCCCCAAGAGGAAGCAAUCGGAAAGCGUGAUUAAGUGCAUCUAUCUCUGUAAGGUCUGAAAUCACCACCUUCAGUGCGGAUCCUACCCUCUGAGUAAACAGUUCACGAUAACCAUGCAAGGAGCAAUGUAUAAUCAUCAUUUGCAGAAACACUUGGAUAAACUGACUUUGAUCAAACACAUCACAGAUAAGUAGUCUGGUAUAAGAUUUUGCUAACCCUCUUCUACAAUUUCUGUUUAAGGUUUAAAGGUUCCUGAUUGAGUAGUUACACAGUAACUCAAGCCACCAGCAGAGAGGGGUGAAAUGUAUGUGUGCUAAUAUAAUUUUUUUUAUUUGCUCUCUAUAAACUAAGGAGGGAUUAUGUAGCUUUCAGUUGCAUUCUAAAAACAUGAUAAGGAAGACUGAAUGUUCAAGUCACUUGGUUUACCAAUUAACCAAGUCUUCAAGGCUUCACAAAGUUACUCAAGUUUUACGAUCGCUGUGGAUCUGCUGCAAUGCUGUUCCAUGUCUGCAUUUGAUGAUGUUUUAUAUAUUUUAAAUUCUAUACAAUAAAAAAAUGCCAGUAAUACUAGACAGUCUUAUGCUAACCACUGAAAUAACCAAGGUCACACAGCUGUACCAUCAUUUUGGUUCUAUACGAAGUUCUGCUUGUAUUGUACUGUAACAAUUGUCAUUGCACAAGUUUAAAAAUUUUUGUAAAGGUGUGAUAAACCGGCAGCUGCUAACUGU
Long non-coding RNA from Dromaius novaehollandiae (emu), 1600 nucleotides. RefSeq lists it as uncharacterized. Lineage: Eukaryota; Metazoa; Chordata; Aves; Casuariiformes; Dromaiidae. The transcript has 2 exons. The record is from RefSeq and is a predicted model, not a curated record.